CCAAUAGCGUAUAUUAAAGUUGUUGCAGUUAAAAAGCUCGUAGUUGAAUUUUGGGACCAAUAUGUCGGUCGUACUUUGUACGUACUAGCAUCAUUGGUUUCUCCCUUCUGAAGAACCACGAUGUCAUUAAUUUGGUGUCGUGGGGAAUCAGGACUGUUACUUUGAAAAAAUUAGAGUGUUUAAAGCAGGCUCGCGCUUGAAUACAUUAGCAUGGAAUAAU
Molecule: ribosomal RNA, 220 nt
Filed under: uncultured Glomus
Lineage: Eukaryota; Fungi; Glomeromycota; Glomeromycetes; Glomerales; Glomeraceae
Description: partial small subunit ribosomal RNA
Rfam family: Eukaryotic small subunit ribosomal RNA
Source: RNAcentral